AUCACGACAGUGGGGAGCAGCCGAUGGCGGCGACGGAU
This 38-nucleotide non-coding RNA is filed under the name Actinoplanes sp. SE50/110. The record is from RNAcentral. Lineage: Bacteria; Bacillati; Actinomycetota; Actinomycetes; Micromonosporales; Micromonosporaceae.